This 354-nucleotide ribosomal RNA is filed under the name Salmonella enterica subsp. enterica serovar Newport. RNAcentral describes it as "bacterial LSU rRNA". It matches the Rfam family "Bacterial large subunit ribosomal RNA", at positions 509 to 865 of the family's 2925-position model. Lineage: Bacteria; Pseudomonadati; Pseudomonadota; Gammaproteobacteria; Enterobacterales; Enterobacteriaceae. The record is from RNAcentral.
GAAAGGCGAAAAGAACCCCGGCGAGGGGAGUGAAAAAGAACCUGAAACCGUGUACGUACAAGCAGUGGGAGCACCCUUCGGGGUGUGACUGCGUACCUUUUGUAUAAUGGGUCAGCGACUUAUAUUCUGUAGCAAGGUUAACCGAAUAGGGGAGCCGGAGGGAAACCGAGUCUUAAUUGGGCGUUAAGUUGCAGGGUAUAGACCCGAAACCCGGUGAUCUAGCCAUGGGCAGGUUGAAGGUUGGGUAACACUAACUGGAGGACCGAACCGACUAAUGUUGAAAAAUUAGCGGAUGACCUGUGGCUGGGGGUGAAAGGCCAAUCAAACCGGGAGAUAGCUGGUUCUCCCCGAAAG